GAUCCUGGCUCAGGAUGAACGCUGGCGGCGUGCUUAACACAUGCAAGUCGAACGGGAAACAUUUCAUUGAAGCUUCGGCGGAUUUGGUCUGUUUCUAGUGGCGGACGGGUGAGUAACGCGUGGGUAACCUGCCUUAUACUGGGGGAUAACAGCCAGAAAUGGCUGCUAAUACCGCAUAAGCGCACAGGACCGCAUGGUCCAGUGUGAAAAAACUCCGGUGGUAUAAGAUGGACCCGCGUUGGAUUAG
This 247-nucleotide ribosomal RNA is filed under the name uncultured bacterium. RNAcentral describes it as "partial 16S ribosomal RNA". It matches the Rfam family "Bacterial small subunit ribosomal RNA", at positions 15 to 244 of the family's 1533-position model. The record is from RNAcentral.